Molecule: ribosomal RNA, 369 nt
Filed under: uncultured organism
Description: bacterial SSU rRNA
Rfam family: Bacterial small subunit ribosomal RNA
Source: RNAcentral
CGGAGGGUGCAAGCGUUAUCCGGAUUCACUGGGUUUAAAGGGUGCGUAGGUGGGUUGGUAAGUCAGUGGUGAAAUCUCCAGGCUUAACUUGGAAACUGCCAUUGAUACUAUCAAUCUUGAAUACCGUGGAGGUCAGCGGAAUAUGUCAUGUAGCGGUGAAAUGCUUAGAUAUGACAUAGAACACCAAUUGCGAAGGCAGCUGGCUACACGAAUAUUGACAUUGAUGCACGAAAGCGUGGGGGAUCAAACAGGAUUAGAUACCCUGGUAGUCCACGCCCUAAACGAUGGAUACUCGACAUACGCGAUAUACUGUGUGUGUCUGAGCGAAAGCAUUAAGUAUCCCACCUGGGAAGUACGAUCGCAAGAUUG